Molecule: non-coding RNA, 681 nt
Organism: Dama dama (fallow deer)
Lineage: Eukaryota; Metazoa; Chordata; Mammalia; Artiodactyla; Cervidae
Source: the annotation of a RefSeq genome assembly
ACUCAGGUCACAGGCUGGAAACAAAGCACCAGGUCACUUAAAUUCAGGCUCCUCCUCAGGCUUGAAGAGAUUUCAGGAGCGGUGACUCUCAUCUGCUCGAAGAUGAGCCCACUGUGGACCUUCCUCUUCGUGCUGUCAGCUCCCAGCGGGGUCCUGUCCCAGGUGCAGCUGCAGGAGUCGGGACCCAGCCUGGUGAAGCCCUCACAGACCCUCUCCCUCACCUGCGCUGUCUCUGGAUUCUCACUAACCAGCUAUGCUGUACACUGGGUCCGCCAGGCUCCAGGGAAGGCGCUGGAGUGGGUUGGUAUCAUAUAUAGUGGUGGAAGCACAUACUAUAACCCAGCCCUGAAAUCCCGGCUCAGCAUCACCAGGGACACCUCCAAGAGCCAAGUCUCUCUCUCACUGAGCACCGUGACACCUGAGGACACGGCCGUGUAUUACUGUGCAAGAUACACAGUGAGGGGAAGUCAGAGAGAGCCCAGACAGAAACCUCCCUGCAUGGGCGCCCAGGACCACCAGGGGGCGCUCAGGGCCACCUCGUUCAGGACUGCGCGCAGGAGCAGAGACACAUCCAAGAACCAGCUCUCCCUGCAGCUGAUGUCUGUAACCAGCGAGGACCCAGCCGUGUAUUACUGUGCAAGAGACAUCGCGGGGGGAGGAGCAGGUGCAGAUGGAGGUUAA